ACAACUAAGAGCUUCUUGAAACAUAAGAUCUUGACAUGUGAGGUCUUUGCUUUCAGUUAAUGGAAACAGGCCACUAUGAAAAAACUUGACUGUAUCCUCCUGGUGUCCCUCACCUCAGAAACUGCUGUAAGACACCAAUCUGUGAGUGGGAAUUCUGUAUGGCAGGCUGGAGCAGGCUUGGUCCCUGUGGUCUUGCAGGAUAGAACACAGUGCAUUCUUGCAAAUUUAUUUGCAACAUUUUGCCUGCCUCCUAUAAAUUUACUUUUGUUCAUACAUGCUUACCCACUAGCAGCUAAAAUUUAUCACCAAGGUUUAUGUAAAGGUUUGAUGUAAGAAGCUAAAGGUAAGCAUGAAAAAGGGGUAAAAAGAUAUUUUCCCAUUGCUACAGAUAUUCCAUUCCAGCGCUUCCCAACAAGAGGCAUUUUCAGGCUUAUCAAAAUGGGAUAGAAAUGGUUUCAUCAGUGUGCUAGUGCUCCCUCAGUCACACUCUGACCUUGGGCAGGUAAUUUAUCUGCUCUGUGCAUCAGUUUUUCCUUCUACAGAAAGGAGGAAUUGAAUUUCACCUUAUAGGGACAUGCUGUGAAGCUUGAGAGUUUUAAGGGUGACAGAAGCAGACCAAAUAAAGGGAGAAGAUACAAGACCUGAGACAGAUCCAGCUCUUGGGUUAAUUUCCCAGGACUUUGGCCUUACAGUGCAAGGCCAAAAGAAUUAAAAAAAUUAACAAUAGAUAAGUCUUCAUAAAAUUUAAACAUGAUAUUAGCUGCCUCUCAAAGUCAUAACAUUAAAUUUAAAACUUCUAAAUUACGAGAGCUUUCAGAGCAAAGUGCUACACAGUAGCUCAAAUGGAACAGAAAUAAAAAGGCAUUUAUAUCCAACUGCCCUCCAGCCAGCCACUCCUGUGCAGGCUGGGCUCAACUUCCAGUCAGCAGCUGCAGUGAACACAAUGAUUUUCUAAGCUGCACCAAACUCUGCUCAGGAACGUCCCAGCAGCUGAGGAGGUCCCUGUGCUAUCACCCCCAUGCUGCCAUGGCCAUCCCAGCAGAGCCGCAGUCCCUGUGGACAUCCAGAGCAGCCCCAGCCAGCAGGGAGAACAGCACCCAAAAACCCAGGUGCACUGCCCUGGCCAGCCUGGUCUGGCUGCUCACUGAUGGACCAGGGCAGACCAAUGCACUCCCCACAGGAAAGCAGAGAGGCAAGAAACAUGAACUGGGUUCAGUCUGGGGAGACCCUGCUUGUGGCAGCUGCUGAUUCGGGUCCAUACCUCCACCAGGAGCACGUUCAUGUGUCCAUCCACUCUCCCACUCUGCAGCAGGGGACCAAAAUGAUUCUGGGACAUCUGUCAAAUCUCUGCCCUCUCACUGGUUUUAUGGAGGAUUUUUAUUUCUAGAUUUUAUUUUUUGUUUGUUUGGGUUUUUUUUGUGGUUUUUUAUUUCAUUGGUUAAAGUCUAAAAAAUUAAAUGACUUCUUUACUUUUCUCUAAACACCAGGUGUCUAUUUCUCAAAACUGCAUUUUAGAAGGCAAGAGGCCCUCAAGAUGGGUGCUGCAGGAGUGGGACACGCUGUCUGGCAAAGGCAAAGGGCAGCCAAGGGGGCUGUGGCUGUGGCCCAGAGCUGCCAGUGGCACUGCACAGUUUCCUGCUGCCCUUCCUGCAGGGAAGGCUCCUGCAGGACCCUCCAGCAGCAGCUGCUGGGAUGUGCAGAGCCACAGACCUGAGCUCUUUGCUGCUCCUCUUGCCAUCCCUCUCCCCUCAGUUCUCCAAGGUGACCAAGUGGACCCUCUGAAACACCUUCUCCCAAAAGAUUCAUUUAUGGCAGUUCCUCAAGCAGCAUUGCUUUUGAGGAAAUCCAAGAAGAUGUAUUUGAAAGCAAUAGUAUUGUGACUGCACAAUAAAAGCCAUUUACCCUAAUCCCUUUAAAAACUGGUAAUAGGGAUUUAAAAGUACUGAAGCUUAAAAAUGUUGAAAUUUGAAGGAAAGACAAAUAUAAACCAAAAAUAUUGGGGAAGGAAAAAAGAAUGUUCGGAUAAUUUAUACAGCAAA
Non-coding RNA from Taeniopygia guttata (zebra finch), 2039 nucleotides. Lineage: Eukaryota; Metazoa; Chordata; Aves; Passeriformes; Estrildidae. The record is from RefSeq and is a predicted model, not a curated record.